ACGUCUAAGCAGUAAGGCUGAGUAUUAGGCAAAUCCGGUACUCGUUAAGGCUGAGCUGUGAUGGGGAGAAGACAUUGAGUCUUCGAGUCGUUGAUUUCACACUGCCGAGAAAAGCCUCUAGAUAGAAAAUAGGUGCCCGUACCGCAAACCGACACAGGUAGUCAAGAUGAGAAUUCUAAGGUGAGCGAGCGAACUCUCGUUAAGGAACUCGGCAAAAUGACCCCGUAACUUCGGGAGAAGGGGUGCUCUUUAGGGUUAACGCCCAGAAGAGCCGCAGUGAAUAGGCCCAAGCGACUGUUUAUCAAAAACACAGGUCUCUGCUAAACCGUAAGGUGAUGUAUAGGGGCUGACGCCUGCCCGGUGCUGGAAGGUUAAGAGGAGUGGUUAGCUUCUGCGAAGCUACGAAUCGAAGCCCCAGUAAACGGCGGCCGUAACUAUAACGGUCCUAAGGUAGCGAAAUUCCUUGUCGGGUAAGUUCCGACCCGCACGAAAGGCGUAACGAUUUGGGCACUGUCUCAACGAGAGACUCGGUGAAAUCAUAGUACCUGUGAAGAUGCAGGUUACCCGCGACAGGACGGAAAGACCCCGUGGAGCUUUACUGUAGCCUGAUAUUGAAAUUCGGCACAGCUUGUACAGGAUAGGUAGGAGCCUUUGAAACGUGAGCGCUAGCUUACGUGGAGGCGCUGGUGGGAUACUACCCUAGCUGUGUUGGCUUUCUAACCCGCACCACUUAUCGUGGUGGGAGACAGUGUCAGGCGGGCAGUUUGACUGGGGCGGUCGCCUCCUAAAAGGUAACGGAGGCGCUCAAAGGUUCCCUCAGAAUGGUUGGAAAUCAUUCAUAGAGUGUAAAGGCAUAAGGGAGCUUGACUGCGAGACCUACAAGUCGAGCAGGGUCGAAAGACGGACUUAGUGAUCCGGUGGUUCCGCAUGGAAGGGCCAUCGCUCAACGGAUAAAAGCUACCCCGGGGAUAACAGGCUUAUCUCCCCCAAGAGUUCACAUCGACGGGGAGGUUUGGCACCUCGAUGUCGGCUCAUCGCAUCCUGGGGCUGUAGUCGGUCCCAAGGGUUGGGCUGUUCGCCCAUUAAAGCGGUACGCGAGCUGGGUUCAGAACGUCGUGAGACAGUUCGGUCCCUAUCCGUCGUGGGCGUAGGAAAUUUGAGAGGAGCUGUCCUUAGUACGAGAGGACCGGGAUGGACAUACCUCUGGUGUACCAGUUGUCGUGCCAACGGCAUAGCUGGGUAGCUAUGUGUGGACGGGAUAAGUGCUGAAAGCAUCUAAGCAUGAAGCCCCCCUCAAGAUGAGAUUUCCCAACUUCGGUUAUAAGAUCCCUC
This 1332-nucleotide ribosomal RNA is filed under the name Staphylococcus aureus. Its description in RNAcentral is "partial 23S ribosomal RNA". It matches the Rfam family "Bacterial large subunit ribosomal RNA", at positions 1508 to 2839 of the family's 2925-position model. The record is from RNAcentral. Lineage: Bacteria; Bacillati; Bacillota; Bacilli; Caryophanales; Staphylococcaceae.